AUGCGAGCUUAAGCCGUUAGGUGUAGGCGAAGCGAAAGCGAGUCUGAAUAGGGCGCAUGAGUUAGAUGGAUCAGACCCGAAACCGAGUGAUCUAGGCAUGGCCAGGUUGAAGACAAGGUAACACUUGUUGGAGGACCGAACCCACAUCCGUUGAAAAGGAUCGGGAUGAGCUGUGCCUAGGGGUGAAAGGCCAAUCAAACUCGGAGAUAGCUGGUUCUCUGCGAAAUCUAUUUAGGUAGAGCGUCGGACGAAUACCCUCGGGGGUAGAGCACUGAAUGGGUAAUGGGGGCCCACAGCCUUACUGAUCCUAAUCAAACUCCGAAUACCGAGGAGUAAUAUCCGGCAGACACACAGCGGAUGCUAACGUCCGUUGUGGAGAGGGAAACAACCCUGACCUACGACUAAGGCCCCUAAUUCAUGGCUAAGUGGGAAAGCAGGUGGGACGACCAAAACAACCAGGAGGUUGGCUUAGAAGCAGCCAUCCUUUAAAGAUAGCGUAACAGCUCACUGGUCUAAAUAAGGGUUCCUGCGGCGAAAAUGUAACGGGGCUAAAGAUAUGCACCGAAGCUUAGGGUUGCAGUUUACUGCAGCGGUAGCGGAGCGUUCCGUAGGCGAGUGAAGGCGAAGGGUAACCGACGCUGGACGUAUCGGAAGUGCGAAUGCUGACAUGAGUAGCGACAAACAGGGUGAGAUACCCUGUCGCCGAAAGACCAAGGGUUCCUACGCAAUGCUAAUCAGCGUAGGGUGAGCCGGCCCCUAAGACGAGCCCGAAGGGGGUAGUCGAUGGGAACCACGUUAAUAUUCGUGGGCCUGGAGAUGUGUGACGGAUCGCGGAAGUUGUGAGUCCUUAUUGGAUUGGACUUGCAGCCAAGUGGUUCCAGGAAAUAGCCUCUCCAUAUAGACCGUACCCGAAACCGACACAGGUGGUCAGGUAGAGUAUACCAAGGCGCUUGAGAGAAGUAUCCUGAAGGAACUCGGCAAAUUGCCUCCGUACCUUCGGAAGAAGGAGGCCCCAUCUUAAGGCAACUUUUGGUGGGGGGCACAGGCCAGGGGGUAGCGACUGUUUAUCAAAAACACAGGACUCUGCUAAGUCGGCUUCAAGACGACGUAUAGGGUCUGACGCCUGCCCGGUGCCUGAAGGUUAAAAGGAGGGGUGAGAGCUCUGAAUUGAAGCCCAGGUAAACGGCGGCCGUAACAAUAACGGUCCUAAGGUAGCGAAAUUCCUUGUCGGGUAAGUUCCGACCUGCACGAAUGGCGUAACGACU
This 1265-nucleotide ribosomal RNA is filed under the name Heterosigma akashiwo. RNAcentral's name for it is "partial Bacterial large subunit ribosomal RNA". It matches the Rfam family "Bacterial large subunit ribosomal RNA", at positions 638 to 2009 of the family's 2925-position model. The record is from RNAcentral. Lineage: Eukaryota; Raphidophyceae; Chattonellales; Chattonellaceae.